Molecule: ribosomal RNA, 493 nt
Filed under: uncultured Ilumatobacter sp.
Lineage: Bacteria; Bacillati; Actinomycetota; Acidimicrobiia; Acidimicrobiales; Ilumatobacteraceae
Description: partial 16S ribosomal RNA
Source: RNAcentral
CACGUAGUUGGCCGCACCUUCUUCUACAGGUACCGUCAUUUUCUUCCCUGCUGAAAGCGGUUUACAACCCUAGGGCCUUCUUCCCGCACGCGGCGUUGCUGCAUCAGGCUUUCGCCCAUUGUGCAAGAUUCCCCACUGCUGCCUCCCGUAGGAGUCUGGGCCGUGUCUCAGUCCCAGUGUGGCUGAUCAUCCUCUCAGACCAGCUACCCGUCGAUGCCUUGGUGAGCCAUUACCUCACCAACAAGCUGAUAGGCCGCGAGACCCUCCCGGACCGAUGAAUCUUUCGUCUGGUCGCCAGGUGACGUCCAGACGGCAUCCGGUAUUAGCAGAUGUUUCCAUCUGUUAUUCCGGAGUCCGGGGCAGGUUUCUCACGUGUUACGCACCCGUUCGCCACUAGAUCUUCCGCAGCAAGCUGCAUGGACCUCGUUCGACUUGCAUGUGUUAAGCACGCCGCCAGCCGUUGUCCUGUACGCCACGGAUCAAACGCCUUACG